Molecule: ribosomal RNA, 253 nt
Filed under: uncultured bacterium
Lineage: Bacteria
Description: partial 16S ribosomal RNA
Rfam family: Bacterial small subunit ribosomal RNA
Source: RNAcentral
UACGUAGGGGGCUAGCGUUGUCCGGAAUCAUUGGGCGUAAAGCGCGCGUAGGCGGCCCGGUAAGUCCGCUGUGAAAGUCAAAGGCUCAACCUUUGAAUGCCAGCGGAUACUGCCGGGCUAGAGUCCGGAAGAGGCGAGUGGAACUCCUGGUGUAGCGGUGGAAUGCGCAGAUAUCAGGAAGAACACCAACGGCGAAGGCAGCUCGCUGGGACGGAACUGACGCUAAGGCGCGAAAGCGUGGGGAGCGAACAGG